GAUUAAGUUAUUAAGGGCGCACGGUGGAUGCCUUGGCACUAGAAGCCGAUGAAGGACGUUACUAACGACGAUAUGCUUUGGGGAGCUGUAAGUAAGCUUUGAUCCAGAGAUUUCCGAAUGGGGAAACCCAGCAUGAGUUAUGUCAUGUUAUCGAUAUGUGAAUACAUAGCAUAUCAGAAGGCACACCCGGAGAACUGAAACAUCUUAGUACCCGGAGGAAGAGAAAGAAAAUUCGAUUCCCUUAGUAGCGGCGAGCGAAACGGGAAGAGCCCAAACCAACAAGCUUGCUUGUUGGGGUUGUAGGACACUCUAUACGGAGUUACAAAGGACGACAUUAGACGAAUCAUCUGGAAAGAUGAAUCAAAGAAGGUAAUAAUCCUGUAGUCGAAAAUGUUGUCUCUCUUGAGUGGAUCCUGAGUACGACGGAGCACGUGAAAUUCCGUCGGAAUCUGGGAGGACCAUCUCCUAAGGCUAAAUACUCUCUAGUGACCGAUAGUGAACCAGUACC
This 508-nucleotide ribosomal RNA is filed under the name Staphylococcus aureus. Its description in RNAcentral is "partial 23S ribosomal RNA". It matches the Rfam family "Bacterial large subunit ribosomal RNA", at positions 1 to 502 of the family's 2925-position model. The record is from RNAcentral. Lineage: Bacteria; Bacillati; Bacillota; Bacilli; Caryophanales; Staphylococcaceae.